UUAUUAGGUUGUCCUUGUCAUUACAACAAGUACUAAUACAUUCUUAUAACAUUGUUAAUAUUGAUAGUUAGUAGUGUUAUAAAUAACGCCUACUAAUAAAGGUGCACAGGUGUUGGUAAUGGAUAGAGAAGAAGAGUUUCUUAAGAAACUACAAAUUCAAUAAUGAUCCUUCCGCAGGUUCACCUACGGAAA
Molecule: unclassified non-coding RNA, 192 nt
Filed under: uncultured fungus
Lineage: Eukaryota; Fungi
Description: sequence contains ITS1, 5.8S rRNA gene
Source: RNAcentral